This 1090-nucleotide long non-coding RNA is filed under the name Mus musculus (house mouse). RNAcentral's name for it is "RAB10, member RAS oncogene family, opposite strand". The record is from RNAcentral. Lineage: Eukaryota; Metazoa; Chordata; Mammalia; Rodentia; Muridae.
AGCGUGACAUUGAAGACUUCCAGUUCCGGGUUCCGCUGAUCAGAAGCGGACAAGCAAACAGCGGAUGUGCAGUUCCUCUCUUCGCCGAACCCGGUUUUCCCUUUCGGAGCAGCGCGACCGAUUUCCGGUUUCCCCGCCGCAACCACCGUUACCCCCCCCCCGCCCCAAUCCCCGGCGACUCCAGCGACGUCACCGGUUCAGCUCCUGACCUUUCGGCGAACCGCAGAACCACAGGCGACCCGUUCGACGUCAUCACUCCCCGCCCAGAUGUCGCUGUGACAUCACCCCGCACGUGCCUGCGCUGGCACCGCGUCGUCCUGGCGAGCGCCUCCUCGCGGCGGAAGGAGAUCCUGGGGUUCGCUGUGCGAGACAUGUCGGCGGGGUUUCACGUGAGUGACACUUGGUCCCCACGGGAUUGACAGCGACUAGCGGAGUGGCAUGUGGACGUAGCUUCAGGUGACCUCACUGACCCCGCCCCUGACUCCACCCCUUGUGAUGACCCCACCACUGACCCACAGGCCUUGGAGGGGCUGAUCCUGGAGAAGUCAAAGGACCAGGAGGACGCCAUGGGGGGUGCUGUACAGGCUGAGCAGGAAGCAGAGCAGCACAGCGUCAUCAUGAGGGUAGCCAUCUUCACCUGGGGCAUCCACGGAGGAGGAGCUGAUCCACGACUACUUGGACAACAGCACACCAGCGAAGGAUGGUGAGGCCCUGCCCCCUGCCUGCACAUGACACUGCCCACGCCCUGUCUGAGACUCUACCAAGUGGUUCUGGGAUAAUAGAUUGAGGGGAUGGGGGCUGCAUACAUUUGCAUGAUUUUGCAUAUUUUGGGCUCAUUUGAAUAAAUUUGUAUAAGUUAACACCAGUUCUCUCAGGACAAAUUUGCAUAGAUUUGUGUGUGACGUCUUGGGCAAAUUAGCAUAAACCAAAAUGAUGUCAUAGUUGUGCUCUGCAUGCGUUUUUUGUGGGUUUUGCAUGAAUUUGCAUACAUCAGCUUCUUUGAAGUAGGUUUGCAUGAGCUGAGGUGACUUUGGUGGCUUCCUCUGUGAAUUUGCAUAAAUUUGCAUAAACCUGAAUGAUAACACAGUGA